RNAcentral lists this ribosomal RNA (462 nucleotides) under uncultured bacterium. RNAcentral's name for it is "partial 16S ribosomal RNA". It matches the Rfam family "Bacterial small subunit ribosomal RNA", at positions 28 to 507 of the family's 1533-position model. The record is from RNAcentral.
GACAAACGCUGGCGGCGUGCCUAAUACAUGCAAGUCGAACGGGGAAAGCUUUCGGGUGAGUACUAGUGGCGCACGGGUGAGGAACGCGUGGAUAAUCUGCCUUAGAGUGGGGGAUAACUAGUCGAAAGAUUAGCUAAUACCGCAUAAGACCACGAGAGCUGCGGCUUUUGAGGUCAAAGGUUUUUCGCUCUAAGAUGAGUCCGCGUAAGAUUAGCUAGUUGGUGAGGUAACGGCUCACCAAGGCGACGAUCUUUAACUGGUCUGAGAGGAUGAUCAGUCACACGGGCACUGAGACACGGUACAGACUCCUACGGGAGGCAGCAGUAGAGAAUAUUGCACAAUGGAGGAAACUCUGAUGCAGCGACGCCGCGUGAGUGAUGAAGGCCUUCGGGUCGUAAAGCUCUGUCGCAGGGGAAUAACACAAUGAAGGUACCCUGUAAGAAAGGAUCGGCUAACUUCGUG